Molecule: ribosomal RNA, 433 nt
Filed under: uncultured bacterium
Lineage: Bacteria
Description: partial 16S ribosomal RNA
Rfam family: Bacterial small subunit ribosomal RNA
Source: RNAcentral
AGCGAACGCUGGCGGCAGGCCUAACACAUGCAAGUCGAACGAACUCUUCGGAGUUAGUGGCGGACGGGUGAGUAACACGUGGGAACGUGCCUUUAGGUUCGGAAUAACUCAGGGAAACUUGUGCUAAUACCGAAUGUGCCCUUCGGGGGAAAGAUUUAUCGCCUUUAGAGCGGCCCGCGUCUGAUUAGCUAGUUGGUGGGGUAAAGGCUCACCAAGGCGACGAUCAGUAGCUGGUCUGAGAGGAUGAUCAGCCACAUUGGGACUGAGACACGGCCCAAACUCCUACGGGAGGCAGCAGUGGGGAAUCUUGCGCAAUGGGCGAAAGCCUGACGCAGCCAUGCCGCGUGAAUGAUGAAGGUCUUAGGAUUGUAAAAUUCUUUCACCGGGGACGAUAAUGACGGUACCCGGAGAAGAAGCCCCGGCUAACUUCGUG